RNAcentral lists this ribosomal RNA (158 nucleotides) under Vibrio fluvialis. RNAcentral describes it as "partial 16S ribosomal RNA". It matches the Rfam family "Bacterial small subunit ribosomal RNA", at positions 1 to 141 of the family's 1533-position model. The record is from RNAcentral. Lineage: Bacteria; Pseudomonadati; Pseudomonadota; Gammaproteobacteria; Vibrionales; Vibrionaceae.
UUAAUUGAAGAGUUUGAUCAUGGCUCAGAUUGAACGCUGGCGGCAGGCCUAACACAUGCAAGUCGAGCGGCAGCGACAACAUUGAACCUUCGGAGGAUUUGUUGGGCGGCGAGCGGCGGACGGGUGAGUAAGGCCUGGGAAAUUGCCCUGAUGUGGGG